UACAGAGGGUGCGAGCGUUACUCGGAAUUACUGGGCGUAAAGCGCGCGUAGGCGGCUUGUUAAGUCAAAUGUGAAAUCCCCGAGCUUAACUUGGGCAUUGCAUUCGAUACUGGCAAGCUAGAGUAUGGGAGAGGAAGGUAGAAUUCCAGGUGUAGCGGUGAAAUGCGUAGAGAUCUGGAGGAAUACCGAUGGCGAAGGCAGCCUUCUGGCCUAAUACUGACGCUGAGGUGCGAAAGCAUGGGGAGCAAACAGG
This 253-nucleotide ribosomal RNA is filed under the name uncultured bacterium. RNAcentral's name for it is "partial 16S ribosomal RNA". It matches the Rfam family "Bacterial small subunit ribosomal RNA", at positions 524 to 776 of the family's 1533-position model. The record is from RNAcentral.